This is a long non-coding RNA of Raphanus sativus (radish), 479 nucleotides long. RefSeq lists it as uncharacterized. The record is from RefSeq and is a predicted model, not a curated record. The transcript is spliced from 2 exons. Lineage: Eukaryota; Viridiplantae; Streptophyta; Magnoliopsida; Brassicales; Brassicaceae.
UUCUAAUCCGGUCAGUUUUGGCUCAGCUCUUUUUUUCGGGUAGGAGUACCUGAGCAUUUGAUUCUCCUUUCGAUUUCAAGCUCGCCGUCCCACCACCACCACCACCCACCCGACGUUUCAAUCCUCUCUCUCUUUGUUGGGCUUUGAAAGUUGAAAACCUUGAAGAUGGUGUGGUUUCCAUCUGGUUCUCGAGUGACAGGAAUUGCCUGCUUCAAUGUGUAGAACAGAGUUGUCAAUCUGCUUCAUAGAUUCCAUCCAUGGCGCUUUAUUGGAUCCGGCUUAGCCAGUGAGGUAAUAUAUGCUCUUUGUGAUGAUUAUUCCAAUAGUAUGUAUUUAAGACAAAUCUUUAUGACUACUAAUUGGAUGUGUGUUUGGGUGGCAUUCUGUCAUCAGUAAUCUCUUGUUCAUGUUCAGAAUUUCCAUUACCAUUCGCUUAAGUUUUGUCUGAUUAUCUGAAAGUUCAAGUCUUUGUUAACGUU